UCUGCAUCUUGUCAUAAUCUCUGGUUCCAC
This 30-nucleotide non-coding RNA is filed under the name Rattus norvegicus (Norway rat). Lineage: Eukaryota; Metazoa; Chordata; Mammalia; Rodentia; Muridae. The record is from RNAcentral.